RNAcentral lists this ribosomal RNA (448 nucleotides) under uncultured bacterium. RNAcentral's name for it is "bacterial SSU rRNA". It matches the Rfam family "Bacterial small subunit ribosomal RNA", at positions 355 to 796 of the family's 1533-position model. The record is from RNAcentral.
UCGAGAAUUUUUCUCAAUGGGGGCAACCCUGAAGGAGCGACGCCGCGUGGAGGAUGAAGGUCUUCGGAUUGUAAACUCCUGUCAUUCGAGAACAAGGUGCACGUGUUAACUGCGCGUGCAUUGAUAGUAUCGGAAGAGGAAGAGACGGCUAACUCUGUGCCAGCAGCCGCGGUAAUACAGAGGUCUCAAGCGUUGUUCGGAUUCAUUGGGCGUAAAGGGUGCGUAGGUGGUGCUGUAAGUCAGGUGUGAAAUCUCGGGGCUCAACCCCGAAACUGCACUUGAUACUGCAGUGCUCGAGGACUGGAGAGGAGAUCGGAAUUCAUGGUGUAGCAGUGAAAUGCGUAGAUAUCAUGAGGAAGACCAGUGGCGAAGGCGGAUCUCUGGACAGUUCCUGACACUGAGGCACGAAGGCCAGGGGAGCAAACGGGAUUAGAUACCCCCGUAGUCC